GCGCACGCGUGCAGAAGUAUUGCACACCGCUCGGCAUGAUAUGGGCAGUAUUUCUACUGAGGAUAGUGUAGCAUUGUUUAAGAUGCAAACGCGAUUUGUCUUUCUCUAACCAGGUGCGGACGCUAGGUGGCAUCCUGAUCGGCAUGAUCACGAGAGAGACGGGAUUAUCGAGAAAUUUCUACUUAGAUGCGGACCGCUUCAACCUCACCUUUCCUCUCGACUUGGACGUGCACGUGAAGGCAGCGCUACUGGCAUGCACCAUGCUCAUAGACUUCAUGUUCUUCGAGACGACAUGUUAGCGGGGAAAGGAAGGUUCUCGAGUUGGAGCAUUCGCCCUUCGUGUCGGACGCCGAAUUCACGACUCAGCACGUUAUUUUAUUGAUUUCCGACUUAGGCCGAGAGAAAUGAAUAGACUUUUCGACAUCUGUGUGAUUUGUCUUUUCAAAAACUUCGCCUCCGCUCAUUUAUCGUAAUAUCCUGCUUAGUCCCCUGAGACAGUAAAUGUUUCCAGUAGGUGGCGUCAUUAAAGCACUGCGAAUUACACGCACAAAUAUCAUCGUUACUCUCUGCAAAGGAUACUUGGCGCGCUGCGAUGUCUGUCUUACAUUUCUGUUUGUGCUCACAGCGAACAUUCUACGCCAACCUUGGCAUUGCUAACAUUACGUUUUGUGUAUUUAUUACCGUCAGCAAGAUAUUCAAGAAUGCCACAAUCAGUUUGGGCGGAGUGUCCCAGACAGGGCAAAUAAGCGAGUAUGAUCAUUUCCGCUCUGUGCGAGCGUUCAGGCUGCUGAAAGCAUUACCACGACAUUCGUAAUAAAAAUAUGUAGUAUUUCAGAAGACGCGUAUGCGAGCUCAGCGAGCCUCACCCAUUCUUUAGAGUUAAAAUUCGUUAUCGUUAAAAUUUCUUGUACUCGAAACACCAUGCAAAAACUGCGAUAACUGCGACGGCACGUAAUGAGAAUAAAGCAAAUGAAUAUGCG
This 980-nucleotide unclassified non-coding RNA is filed under the name Dermacentor andersoni. RNAcentral describes it as "uncharacterized LOC126542390". The record is from RNAcentral. Lineage: Eukaryota; Metazoa; Arthropoda; Arachnida; Ixodida; Ixodidae.